CAUUGCCUGGCCAGAGAACUGCUGAUAUCACCUGGAGGAGAGGUGAGCCACAUCAAAGGAGCAGAAGCCAACAUUGAUAGGCCGGGAGCAUCCUGCGAAUACCCUGCCAGAAGUAGUGGAGCGGACACUCCAUUGGAGAGAGUCAAUUGCAGAGGCCCUAGUGAGACGCAUCACACGAGUCAAACCACAGAGCAAGACUUGAUUCCACCAACAUUGGGAAUGAGAGAGCAUAG
Molecule: long non-coding RNA, 233 nt
Organism: Alligator sinensis (Chinese alligator)
Lineage: Eukaryota; Metazoa; Chordata; Crocodylia; Alligatoridae
Exons: 3
Source: RefSeq, a predicted model, not a curated record